AUACGGAGGAUACAAGCGUUAUCCGGAUUUAUUGGGUUUAAAGGGUGCGCAGGCGGACCGCUAAGUCAGGGGUGAAAAGUUCGUGCUUAACAUGAAUCGUGCCUUUGAUACUGGCGGACUAGAGUGCGAUAGGCGUGGCCGGAAUGUGGUGUGUAGCGGUGAAAUGCUUAGAUAUGCCACAGAACACCGAUCGAGAAGUCAGGUCACGAGUUCGCAACUGACGCUCAUGCACGAAAGCGUGGGGAUCAAACAGGAUUAGAUACCCUGGUAGUCCACACUGUAAACGAUGAUAACUCGCUGUCGGCGAUACACAGUCGGUGGCCAAGCGAAAGCGAUAAGUUAUCCACCUGGGGAGUACGACCGCAAGGUUGAAACUCAAAGGAAUUGACGGGG
RNAcentral lists this ribosomal RNA (393 nucleotides) under uncultured bacterium. Its description in RNAcentral is "partial 16S ribosomal RNA". It matches the Rfam family "Bacterial small subunit ribosomal RNA", at positions 523 to 918 of the family's 1533-position model. The record is from RNAcentral.